AUUGAACGCUGGCGGCAUGCCUUACACAUGCAAGUCGAACGGCAGCACGGAGCUUGCUCUGGUGGCGAGUGGCGAACGGGUGAGUAAUAUAUCGGAACGUACCCUAGAGUGGGGGAUAACGUAGCGAAAGUUACGCUAAUACCGCAUACGAUCUAAGGAUGAAAGUGGGGGAUCGCAAGACCUCAUGCUCGUGGAGCGGCCGAUAUCUGAUUAGCUAGUUGGUAGGGUAAAAGCCUACCAAGGCAUCGAUCAGUAGCUGGUCUGAGAGGACGACCAGCCACACUGGAACUGAGACACGGUCCAGACUCCUACGGGAGGCAGCAGUGGGGAAUUUUGGACAAUGGGCGAAAGCCUGAUCCAGCAAUGCCGCGUGAGUGAAGAAGGCCUUCGGGUUGUAAAGCUCUUUUGUCAGGGAAGAAACGGUGAGAGCUAAUAUCUCUUGCUAAUGACGGUACCUGAAGAAUAAGCACCGGCUAACUACGUGCCAGCAGCCGCGGUAAUACGUAGGGUGCAAGCGUUAAUCGGAAUUACUGGGCGUAAAGCGUGCGCAGGCGGUUUUGUAAGUCUGAUGUGAAAUCCCCGGGCUCAACCUGGGAAUUGCAUUGGAGACUGCAAGGCUAGAAUCUGGCAGAGGGGGGUAGAAUUCCACGUGUAGCAGUGAAAUGCGUAGAUAUGUGGAGGAACACCGAUGGCGAAGGCAGCCCCCUGGGUCAAGAUUGACGCUCAUGCACGAAAGCGUGGGGAGCAAACAGGAUUAGAUACCCUGGUAGUCCACGCCCUAAACGAUGUCUACUAGUUGUCGGGUCUUAAUUGACUUGGUAACGCAGCUAACGCGUGAAGUAGACCGCCUGGGGAGUACGGUCGCAAGAUUAAAACUCAAAGGAAUUGACGGGGACCCGCACAAGCGGUGGAUGAUGUGGAUUAAUUCGAUGCAACGCGAAAAACCUUACCUACCCUUGACAUGGCUGGAAUCCUUGAGAGAUCAGGGAGUGCUCGAAAGAGAACCAGUACACAGGUGCUGCAUGGCUGUCGUCAGCUCGUGUCGUGAGGUGUUGGGUUAAGUCCCGCAACGAGCGCAACCCUUGUCAUUAGUUGCUACGAAAGGGCACUCUAAUGAGACUGCCGGUGACAAACCGGAGGAAGGUGGGGAUGACGUCAAGUCCUCAUGGCCCUUAUGGGUAGGGCUUCACACGUCAUACAAUGGUACAUACAGAGCGCCGCCAACCCGCGAGGGGGAGCUAAUCGCAGAAAGUGUAUCGUAGUCCGGAUUGUAGUCUGCAACUCGACUGCAUGAAGUUGGAAUCGCUAGUAAUCGCGGAUCAGCAUGUCGCGGUGAAUACGUUCCCGGGUC
This 1351-nucleotide ribosomal RNA is filed under the name uncultured bacterium. RNAcentral describes it as "bacterial SSU rRNA". It matches the Rfam family "Bacterial small subunit ribosomal RNA", at positions 28 to 1380 of the family's 1533-position model. The record is from RNAcentral.